Molecule: long non-coding RNA, 1123 nt
Organism: Mya arenaria
Lineage: Eukaryota; Metazoa; Mollusca; Bivalvia; Myida; Myidae
Exons: 4
Source: RefSeq, a predicted model, not a curated record
AUUAUUUGGAUUAUACCUAUCACAGUGUGUCAACGUUAUGCCUAUUGUUAUUUUGGACUAUAGGGUGUAGUUUUUAAGUCAUACACAAUAUGGCGGCGAUUAUGCGGAAAUGAAAUUGAAUGUAACUUCGAACACGUUCUUCUACAAAUUAACCCACCUGUAUUUAGUGCUAUUGCUUUAACAUCAAUCGAAGCAAAAAUGGCAUCAAUGUAUGCGUCUAAAAAUGUUAAAUUUAGAUGGAGACAAUCCAGAAAUGAGCUCCCAGGAAGUGAUCGAUUUCGGACACGAAGAUUGAGAAGUGCCUGGAUACAAGGCUAGUAUUGUUAGCAUCAUCUGAUACAAUCAACUGGAACAAAGCUGAAAUGGCUGCCUGACCUGACCUAAAAAUUGGAUGGCAGUACAUCAGACUAGAAGAUUACAAGUAUUGAGGUGGACAAAAUGAAACCUGAGCCUACCAAAGCUGACAGAUUGCAUAAGAAACACAUAAAUGCAGAUUGGAAGAUUCAUUCUCUGGAAAGUAGAAAAGGGCAUGUUAUUACAUACUGUUAUCACUGCCAUGACAGAAACCAUAUUGAGGAGCUGGUCCACCUGUAGGAAGAAUUGCGCUAUUGGUUGGAGCAGCACUAUUACCCAGCCAUACACCAGCACUUAGUUUGUCAUAGGGAGCAUUUCUGAGCAGUUAUGGAGACCACUAACUAUGCAGUUGUUGCAGUGAAACUGGCACCAGUGUGUUUUCUGUAGAGAUAAAGAGAUAGUGUCCAGCAAUGAAGACCCAACUCAAGAUCUGACCUUGUAAGGCCAAUAUGAAAUAACUGUGUGGGAAAAUGGGCAAAACCUGCAGUCAGGAAUGCACAGAAAUCAUCAAAAGAACAGUGUUAAAUUAAUCUUGAAUAACUUGACAUUUAUUUUGUUUGACAUAUUUAUUUAUGGUGCAGUGAAAACAUUCUUUUUUUCUCAUGGUUAUUUAAAUUUAGAAUUGAAAGGAGGGAACAUCACUAUGUAGUUUCAUGUUCAUAGUCAGAUCAAAACCCAUGUACAUGCCCAAAUGAGCAUUCGAAAAUAUCAAAAUGGUACUUGUUGUAUGUAAUGUAAGUUAAUUAACAUAAUAAACAAAAAUAUUUAA